UACAGAGGUCUCGAGCGUUGUUCGGAUUCAUUGGGCGUAAAGGGCGCGUAGGCGGCGGGGUAAGUCGGGUGUGAAAUCUCAGAGCUCAACUCUGAAAUGGCACUUGAUACUGCUCUGCUAGAGGACUGGAGAGGAGAUUGGAAUUCACGGUGUAGCAGUGAAAUGCGUAGAUAUCGUGAGGAAGACCGGUGGCGAAGGCGGAUCUCUGGACAGUUCCUGACGCUGAGGCGCGAAGGCCAGGGGAGCAAACGGG
Molecule: ribosomal RNA, 253 nt
Filed under: uncultured bacterium
Lineage: Bacteria
Description: partial 16S ribosomal RNA
Rfam family: Bacterial small subunit ribosomal RNA
Source: RNAcentral